Molecule: long non-coding RNA, 511 nt
Filed under: Nicotiana tabacum (common tobacco)
Lineage: Eukaryota; Viridiplantae; Streptophyta; Magnoliopsida; Solanales; Solanaceae
Description: long non-coding RNA (NTAB_LNC019327)
Source: RNAcentral
AUUAUUUUAAUGAAAAGCCUAACAAGAUCACCAAUGCCACCAAUCUUGGCUAGGCUUAUAUAAGGUCAAAAUCAACACUCUUUUCAUCCCCUAAAACACAACCAACCUCUCUUGCAGCCACCAAGUUUUCUUCCCAAAUCCUCUUCUCUCUAUUUUCCAAGAACAUGGAGUUCUCAACCUUCCACCCCUCAACAUGGAAUUCUUUCUUCACCUCUCCUCUCCUCUUUCCCUAUCAUUUCAUUCCUGAGAAUUAUGUUCAUUGGAGAGAGACCCCUGAAUCUCACAUAUAUUCUGCUGAUCUUCCAGGUAAAACAAAAAAAAGAAUCAAAAUUCAGUAGGGGAUUUAAAUAGACUUUUUUUCCCUUUAAACACCCUUUACUUUGUCCUGUAUCGGGUAUUAAUUUUCUUGAGUUUUGAAUGAAUGUUUUUAUUUUUUGGAUAGGUCUGAAGAAAGAGGAAAUAAAGGUGGAAGUUGAGGAUUCAAGAUACCUGAUAAUAAGAACUGAAGCUG